Bemisia tabaci is the source of this 662-nucleotide non-coding RNA. Lineage: Eukaryota; Metazoa; Arthropoda; Insecta; Hemiptera; Aleyrodidae. The record is from RefSeq and is a predicted model, not a curated record.
AAAUAGCCUACCAAUUUUUCAUCAUCCAUUGAACCUUUCGAUCAAAUUGGUAUAUGGCGUCUGAUUUGACGGAAACACCCUCUGAAGUGACAUCAACGAACAACUGAAUCGCUGGAAUUAAGAGAUAAGACACAAGAUGAUAUUGAAGUAACGUCCCGCCGAAAAUAUUCGAAGCGAGCUGACAAGCAUUUUCCGGCACCCCCUCUCUGAUCGCCUGCUCUGAAAUUAUGUCACUAGCUGCAGUCAUUUGAUUGCAGUCUUGCCGUUGCCUUGUCAGAGUCUUGCCAUUGCCUUGCCAACUUAUUGUCGACUCUUGAUGAUCUCUCUAUUUAGCACACGACAAGAUGGUCAAAAUAGAGGACUGGAAGAGAACAGCAUAAGUGGCACAAAGAAAUUCUAUCCUUGUCCAAAGGCCAGUAUCUGCCCAUGAAUGAGAAAGGUCUCACCUUGGAAUAAAAAAAGACCGAUGUGAUGUUGAGAAGCGGAAAUUCAAAAUCUGAAGAGGAACGACAUUUUAAUGGAGAUGAAGCUAACAAACAGUUGGAGGGAGGCAUUGAAAGUAUCAAGGGGCUUCCGGAUCAAUGAAUCGUGUGACUGUACAUUUUCACCGUUUUCCUGUUUUACUGAACUUUAUUAAAGUAAAAAAUGUUCCUAAAAUUGUA